This is a long non-coding RNA of Oryzias melastigma (Indian medaka), 315 nucleotides long. RefSeq lists it as uncharacterized. The record is from RefSeq and is a predicted model, not a curated record. NCBI's taxonomy places the organism in Eukaryota, Metazoa, Chordata, Actinopteri, Beloniformes, Adrianichthyidae. The transcript is spliced from 2 exons.
CACAAGCAUGUCAAGUAAUGUCGAAAAUGUCCAGCUGUAUCGUUUUGAGCUCAGACGAGGAAAGUGAGGAGCUCCGUGGAUCGAAACGUCUACACAUCAGAAUGUUUCUUACAGGAGCCUUGGUGCUGUUGGCAUAAGGCAGCGGCAUUGACAGCCUCUCACAGUCGGCACCACUGGACCCCACCCUGGUGAAGGAGUAGGAGCCUUGGAUGUACGGGUUACUGCCCCAUGACGAACGCAGGACGUGCCGGGGCUUUGGAAUGUCAGGGUUCCCUGCAGACAAAUGAAAGAAGGGAGUCAUCAGUGACAAAAAAA